RNAcentral lists this ribosomal RNA (563 nucleotides) under Salmonella enterica. RNAcentral's name for it is "partial 23S ribosomal RNA". It matches the Rfam family "Bacterial large subunit ribosomal RNA", at positions 711 to 1250 of the family's 2925-position model. The record is from RNAcentral. Lineage: Bacteria; Pseudomonadati; Pseudomonadota; Gammaproteobacteria; Enterobacterales; Enterobacteriaceae.
AGACCCGAAACCCGGUGAUCUAGCCAUGGGCAGGUUGAAGGUUGGGUAACACUAACUGGAGGACCGAACCGACUAAUGUUGAAAAAUUAGCGGAUGACCUGUGGCUGGGGGUGAAAGGCCAAUCAAACCGGGAGAUAGCUGGUUCUCCCCGAAAGCUAUUUAGGUAGCGCCUCGUGAAUUCAUCUCCGGGGGUAGAGCACUGUUUCGGCUAGGGGGCCAUCCCGGCUUACCAACCCGAUGCAAACUGCGAAUACCGGAGAAUGUUAUCACGGGAGACACACGGCGGGUGCUAACGUCCGUCGUGAAGAGGGAAACAACCCAGACCGCCAGCUAAGGUCCCAAAGUCAUGGUUAAGUGGGAAACGAUGUGGGAAGGCCCAGACAGCCAGGAUGUUGGCUUAGAAGCAGCCAUCAUUUAAAGAAAGCGUAAUAGCUCACUGGUCGAGUCGGCCUGCGCGGAAGAUGUAACGGGGCUAAACCAUGCACCGAAGCUGCGGCAGCGAACGUAUCACUUAAAGCGAUUCAGCGGGUUACGAUUGACGGAGCGAAGCGACGUCAAAGCGU